UUCCCAGGAUUAUUAAAUAUAAUUUAUGUUGACAAAGGGGAGAGCGUCUAUGAUGCUGGACAUUUGCUGUAAAGAACGCCCAAUGAGCCACGGCGGAGUGGACAGAGCCUGCAUCCACAGUGACUUCCAUGAGUCACAGGGCAGGGAGGGAUAUGCAGCAUGGGUGGAUUCAGAUUGUGUUGACAAAACCCUCAGAAAGACAGAACGCAUUGGGGUGAGCAAUGAAGCCGUGGUGCAGUCUGGUACAGCAGCUCUGAGAUGCCAAGGGGUCUUCGCUCUGUUUCAGUUGGUGGCAGGGAAGGAUUUGGAGAAUCUUCCUUCUAGAUCCGCAACUUCCUGGUUGCCCUAAGAAAUCAACUGAAAUUAGUACCACACAACAGGGACUGACUGCCCGCCCUGCUGUUCCCUAAAAGUGAACCUCCUGUGACUCUCACACCAAGGCUUGAAGGAGUUAAGAAUUGAGGCUCCUGCACUGAAGUAAUUUACCCCAAAGUUUCACAGGUGUCACACGGGAGAAGAGUGAAGCGGUCCUUUGAGCCAAGACAGUGUGAGGAAGUGUGAGGGCUGGAGAAAACUUUGGAUAUGCAAAAUUAGAACUCACCCUCUAGAGCUACCAUGAAGGUCCCGUACAAGCUUCCUCCUUCCUGUCCCAGUGCACGAAAAGAAAAUUCCAAUCAGCUCCUCAUGCAUCUUCAAUGCCUGCCCCAGGCACCACGUCUGGUCAAAGGUCACAUAUACCCUACACAGGCUUAUCUGGGCAGAAGAGAAAGCCAAACCCUUGCUGGUUGUGGGCUCCUCUCCACCCCUUUAAAUAAAAAGGUCAUUUUUACUUUUUCUUA
Molecule: long non-coding RNA, 839 nt
Organism: Cavia porcellus (domestic guinea pig)
Lineage: Eukaryota; Metazoa; Chordata; Mammalia; Rodentia; Caviidae
Exons: 3
Source: RefSeq, a predicted model, not a curated record